CCAGUCGGCCGGGCGGCCGCUCUUCCCCUCGCGGGGGAGGGAGGAAAGUCCGGGCUCCACGGAACAACGGUGCCGACUAACGGUCGGCGGGGGCGACCCCAGGGACAGUGCCACAGAGAACGAACCGCCGCGGAUGCGUCCGCGGCAAGGGUGAAAAGGUGCGGUAAGAGCGCACCGCGGGACCGGCAACGGGACCGGCAUGGCAAACCCCACCGGGAGCAAAACCAAAUAGGGGCGACGCGGGUUCUUCGCUUCGGCGGAGACCCAGUCCGUUCCGGACCAGUCGCCCGGGUCGGUUGCGCGAGGCGUCCGGCAACGGGCGUCCCAGAUGAAUGGCCGCCGCGUCGGGGGAAACCCCGGCCUUACAGAACCCGGCUUAUAGGCCGACUGGCACU
This is a non-coding RNA of 395 nucleotides. It matches the Rfam family "Bacterial RNase P class A". From Rfam's summary of the family: Ribonuclease P (RNase P) is a ubiquitous endoribonuclease, found in archaea, bacteria and eukarya as well as chloroplasts and mitochondria. Its best characterised activity is the generation of mature 5'-ends of tRNAs by cleaving the 5'-leader elements of precursor-tRNAs. The record is from Rfam.